AUUGAACGCUGGCGGCAGGCCUAACACAUGCAAGUCGAACGGUAACAGGAAGACGCUUGCUUCUUUGCUGACGAGUGGCGGACGGGUGAGUAAUGUCUGGGAAACUGCCUGAUGGAGGGGGAUAACUACUGGAAACGGUAGCUAAUACCGCAUAACGUCGCAAGACCAAAGAGGGGGACCUUCGGGCCUCUUGCCAUCGGAUGUGCCCAGAUGGGAUUAGCUAGUAGGUGGGGUAACGGCUCACCUAGGCGACGAUCCCUAGCUGGUCUGAGAGGAUGACCAGCCACACUGGAACUGAGACACGGUCCAGGCUCCUACGGGAGGCAGCAGUGGGGAAUAUUGCACAAUGGGCGCAAGCCUGAUGCAGCCAUGCCGCGUGUAUGAAGAAGGCCUUCGGGUUGUAAAGUACUUUCAGCGGGGAGGAAGGGAGUAAAGUUAAUACCUUUACUCAUUGACGUUACCCGCAGAAGAAGCGCCGGCUAACUCCGUG
RNAcentral lists this ribosomal RNA (490 nucleotides) under uncultured bacterium. RNAcentral's name for it is "partial 16S ribosomal RNA". It matches the Rfam family "Bacterial small subunit ribosomal RNA", at positions 30 to 507 of the family's 1533-position model. The record is from RNAcentral.